UCUUCCGGUCGCGGGACACCGGGUGUAGAGGGCGGUCGCGGCGGGCAGUGGCGGCAGGUGUACAUUUUUAUCUUUCAGAAUGUUGGCUACCAGGGUAUUUAGCCUAGUUGGCAAGCGAGCAAUUUCCACCUCUGUGUGUGUACGAGCUCAUGAAAGUGUUGUGAAGAGCGAAGACUUUUCGCUCCCAGCUUAUAUGGAUCGGCGUGACCACCCCUUGCCGGAGGUGGCCCAUGUCAAGCACCUGUCUGCCAGCCAGAAGGCCUUGAAGGAGAAGGAGAAGGCCUCCUGGAGCAGCCUCUCCAUGGAUGAGAAAGUCGAGUGUGGGUAUUGAAGGGACCCACAGGCGCGCCCAGCAGCUCUCAGAAGUGUGUGUGUGACAGAGCCUCUGCUCACUUCUGGGCCUACUGUCUAGAGAGCAGUCUUGCACAGGAGGGUUGCUCUGCUGGGUUUCGGGGUCACUGUCCCAGGGCCCUAGUUUAUGUGCUCACCAGUCACUUAGCUCUGCCAGCUGACAGGAUCUUUUGCUAGGCCCCCUUCUCUGUGCUGAGUGGAGGUACCCUCUCAGCA
This 567-nucleotide small RNA is filed under the name Pan troglodytes (chimpanzee). Its description in RNAcentral is "retained intron". The record is from RNAcentral. Lineage: Eukaryota; Metazoa; Chordata; Mammalia; Primates; Hominidae.